GCUUAGGACUUAGGGUUUUAGAUUAAGUUAUUUUUUUAGGGCUUUUAAGGUUUGUUUUAGGGUUUUUAAAAGGUUUUUAGGGUUUUUUAGUGUUUAGUUUUUCUUAGGAUUUAGGGUUUUUUAGGGUUUAGGUCUUCUUAGAGUCUCAUAAGGCUUAGGAUUGGAGGUUUAUCCUUAAGGUUUAGGGUUUAGGUUUCUUAGGGUUUGAGAGCAUUUAAGGUCACCUAGGUUUAUUUUGGGUCUUUUAGGGUGUAGGGUAAAUUUAGGGUUUAGUGUUUUAGGUUUAGGGUAGUGUUUAGUGUUUAGGUUUGUUAGGUUUAACAGUUUUUAAGGGUUUUUUAGGUUUAGAGUUUUAAUGUUUUUUUUUUUUUUUAGGGUUUUUUAGUGUUUUUUUGGGUUUUUUUUCAAGAUAAAGAGUUUUUUUCGAUCUAAGAAUUUUUAGGAUCAUUAUUGUUUUUACGGUUUAGGGGUUCUUAGGGCUUAGGGCUUAGUGUUUUACGGUUUUUUUAGGUUAACGAUUUUUAGGAUUUUUCAGUGUUUAGUUUUUCUUAGGAAUUAGAGUUUCUUAGGAUUUAGGGCUUCUUAGAGUUUCAUAAGACUUAGGGUUUGGGGUUUAUCCCUAAGGUUUAGGGUAUAGGUUUCUUAGGGUUUGAGUUUAGCAUAUAAGGUCU
RNAcentral lists this long non-coding RNA (671 nucleotides) under Solanum tuberosum (potato). RNAcentral describes it as "long non-coding RNA (STUB_LNC001488)". Lineage: Eukaryota; Viridiplantae; Streptophyta; Magnoliopsida; Solanales; Solanaceae. The record is from RNAcentral.